This 53-nucleotide transfer RNA is filed under the name Drosophila punctatonervosa. RNAcentral's name for it is "tRNA-Tyr". The record is from RNAcentral. Lineage: Eukaryota; Metazoa; Arthropoda; Insecta; Diptera; Drosophilidae.
AUUGAUUAAGAAGAAUAAUUCUUAUAAAUAAAUUUACAAUCUAUCGCCUAUUU